CUGAUCAAAUUUAAUUAAAAUAAUCACACGCGAAGAUAGAAUCAGUGUUUGUUCGCCGAUUAUAAUUUAUACGGACGCGUUAUUAAUUUCUUAUUUUUAUUUUUUUUUUUUUUUACAAAUAUUCGUUUUCGGUACAGGAUAGAAUCAGUGCUUCUCUCAAGAGAAUACGGCGAUCAUCCACCACGCGAAGAGAUGCUGAUGAUCUUUAUGAAGAUUUUUCUUGAACUUUAAAAAAUAUUUGUGACCACGCGCAAUGUGGUUAUUAGAAUCAGUGUUUGAUUCGUAACAAUAUUUUAAAUAGAUUUUUAGAGGACAAUAGUUUUAAUUAAGUUAAGCUUUAAUUAUAAUAGUUAUACGCGAAAUUAGAAUCAGUGCUUGUUCGCCGACUACAGAAUAUAUACGAACGCGUUAAUAGUUUCUUAUUUUUAUUUUUUUAUUUUAAAUAUUCGUUUUCGGUACAGAGUAGAGUCAGUGCUUCUCUCAAGAGUAUAAGGUGAUCAUCCAUCACGCGAAGAGAUUUCUUCCAUUCUUCUACCUGAUGGCAGCCUUAUUCUCGAUGACUUCUGGGCCACAAUAAGAGAAGUGAAGGCGUUCGUCGCAUCAUAUGGUGAGUCGCAUGCUUUUUGGUUCCUCCGAUCACUCAACCAUGUCGUAGGAUGAAAGAUCCGAAUCGACACGAGUGACUGGUUGUAUACGUAGAAUUUUACACGAGCACAAUGACCGCGAAUAUUUAUUUAUAAUAUUCGUGAGUAGUAACAAUUUUUUUUUUUGUUUUUUAUUAGUUCAGGCUAGGGUCUUCUUGUGCUUCGCGUUUUUGAUUAAUAAAAAUAUCAAUUUAUUUUUUCUAAAAAAUCUCUAAAAAUAUCUCUAAAAAUAACAAUUUAUUAAUUUUCUAAUGUCAAAACAUAUAAUAACUAUUGUAUUAUAUAUAUGUAGUUCAAUAUAAUAACUAGUUUGAAUUUCUAUGAUUCAAAAUUCUUCAGAAUAAUAUUUCAAGUUACUUGAUCAAUUUGAUUAUUGUGAUAUUUUCAUAUAAUAUAAUAACAAUAUGACUUAUAAUACCUGUAGAUAGUAAAAUUUAAUUUUCUUCGUCCAAAUAUAAAUUAAAUUUUGUGCAAGAAGACAUUUCGCGACAGGCAGAUUUUAGAAUCAGAACAAUAAAUUUUGAAUAUUAUUCUUAUGAUUUUGAAAAUAUGUUCUGAUGAAGGAAUCGCCUGAGGGUAUUUUUAUUAAUAUUUAUUAAUAUAUUAAAUUACAAUAAAUUCUUUUUUAAAUUUAAAUUCAAAAAUUCUUUAACUUCAAUAUUAAAAAUUUAAUAUACUAAAAUUUCAACUUAUUCAUAAUUAUUCAUAAUUUAUUAAUAAAACAAAAUAAAAAAUAGAGUUAUAAAUAAUUUGAAAUAUAAUGCAAAUAGAAAAAAUAUUAGCCCGUUAGAUGAAUUUAUUAAUAACUUUUUUAGCUCAGGAUUUUCAGAUUUAACCCUUUCCAUGUUCAUUGUCAGGAACUCACUCACGUGCCCAGGUGCUACUUGAGUGAGGGAGAGACAAUGGAUAUGAUGACUUUAGUUCAUAAGCUAAUAGAAAUUUUUUAGCGAUUGACGAUGCGUUAGUGUAUCGUGCACGAUGUACUUUCCACAUUGUGUGUGUAUGGUUAGGCUGUGGAAUUGCGUCGUUUCAUUUAUCAUAUUAUUUCAUUCAUUAUUCAAUCACAAUUUACAAUCAUAUUCGCAAUUAAAUAUUGUGAAUAAUUAAUAAAUAAUUAUUAAGCAAGCAUUAUUAAUUUUAUUAAUCAAAAAUUAUAAUAAUGAUACAAUUUUGGUUCACAACCAUUUAAUCUAGUGGUUAAUAUUUUAGAAAACAUUACAUAUUCAUAAAUAUUCACAAUUAAAAUGUAAAUAUACACGUUUUUGUCACGUUUCACGCAAUGGUCGCUAACCAUCGUCAGUCGAUUUCAGGAAAAUGGUACGUAAAGUUAGAGUGUGCGAGUUGUGUGCCAAGCUCGGGUGUCGGAGGCGUCCCGGGACGCUUUCCCUAGUGUAGGCUUUUGCGCCCGGGUGUUAUGUGUGAGAAUCGUGGAAUGAAUGUGUUGGUAUGUCUGUUUUGCCAUAUUUUUUAAAUAUAGGGCUAGGUAGGAUAGGUAGUAUACUUUGGUAUGUCUGUUUAAUUAUAAGUAGGUAGGGCCGGGCAGGUUGUCACAGUCUCUGAUCGGGUAGGCGCGUUUUCGCGUGACAAUCUGUUUCAGGAAAUAAAAUUUGAGAAAUCGAGGGCAAAGCUGAGUCGAAUAGGCAAUGCUACUCGUCUCUGGCUUUGCUUAUCGAUUUUUCGAAUUUCGUGGUCGCGGUCGCGAUUUGCUUUCGAAACGAACGUUGCGCUCGAGAUUCUGUACAUGUACGAAGAACGAUCAUUGCGAUCGUUGGUCGUCCAUGCACUUAGCUUUCGCGAUUUAGUCCAUUUUUUUCUUUUUUCUUUGAUUUGCGAUUAGUGAAUUUCGAGCCUAGAUUUAAGUUUCAGCGGGCAUUGCGCUCGAAGAAAGAAGACCGAAGAGGCCCGACAAAUUGUCACGAAGAGGGCUGCA
Molecule: long non-coding RNA, 2574 nt
Organism: Apis cerana (Asiatic honeybee)
Lineage: Eukaryota; Metazoa; Arthropoda; Insecta; Hymenoptera; Apidae
Source: RefSeq, a predicted model, not a curated record